UUCCAACUUUUAUUCAUUCCAGUGCUUACUAAUUAAGCUUUCUCAAAGCUUUUUUGGACAAAAAUCUUCCAAUGGCAUUUUCACCAACGGUUUUACUUUUGGAAAAAAUAAAGUCAUGAAAAAGAUGGCAGCCGCCUAAAUUUUCCCACUUGAACUUUGUACAAAUCGUGGCGUGGAAAAGCUAACGGUGAUCGUGACUUGUGAUUAUAAAUAACAUCGGCAAGUUUUUAGCUGUUCCUGCUUAUCUUCGCUGGCUUAGAUCCCAAUCAUCAUGAUCUUGAUUCCGUGGUCCGGUACGACAGUGGCAACAACAAUAAUGGCCAACACCACGACGCUCGAAAGAGAAACUUUACAGCUUGCAGUUUUAGAGGUGUCCGGAGAUAAAUUUAUCUGCGGUCGCAGCCCUAUGUGAAUUUUGUACAGGAUAGAUCGGUAGUCCGGCAGCUAGCAGAAUUUUCAUCGAGUUUGAAGCAAGUGGUAUAGUGCUGAUGGUAGGAGGUAUAGAGAGAUAACUCAGUAGUAACCAUUUUUUACGGUACGGACAUCUCUGGUCCGAGUAAUGAUGAAAAAACUGUUUGAAUAAAUAAAAAUAUUCUGAAAAUAG
Armigeres subalbatus is the source of this 604-nucleotide long non-coding RNA. RefSeq lists it as uncharacterized. The transcript has 2 exons. NCBI's taxonomy places the organism in Eukaryota, Metazoa, Arthropoda, Insecta, Diptera, Culicidae. The record is from RefSeq and is a predicted model, not a curated record.